AAAACCAAUUUACAGCCUGACUGCGGUCCAGAGAGUAUAUCAGAUCCAGAUGGUGCUGUUGGGAAUUUGGGAAACAAACUCCUGAUUCUGCUGGCCUUUCUGUUUUUACAUCUUCCUCUACCUUGAGGGACCAGGAUGACGACGCAUACUGUACAGACACGGCAGCUACUCCAGAGCCAAAGAUAUGCUGAUCUUUCCUAUUGUAACCAGCCAUGAAUCAGGGAUGUGGUUUUUCCGUAUAAAUACGGUUUUGUGUAUUUUCCGCCUCUGAGGGACGACCCGCUGACUUUUUAUGUGUUGCGGUGAGAAUCUGAGUUUGGUAGUGCUGUCAUAAAAUUCACAACGGUUGUGUUGUAAUUGUAUAAUAUGCUGUAGUGUGACGCGCUACAUGUCUGCUGUUACAGUAACGUUACUGUUUUUAGUUGAUUCACUGUUAGUGCUGCGGUGGUUUGAGCCGCUUUAAUUUGCAUUUGGGAGCGCAACAUUCCUCAGAAACAUUUGUAAAUCUGUUUUUGUUUACAAAGAAGUUUCAGUGUCACAUGAUCUUCAGAAAUCAUUCUAAUAUGCUGAUUUUCUGCUCAAGAAACAUUUCUGAUUAUUAUCAAUGUUGAAAACAG
Cyprinus carpio (common carp) is the source of this 617-nucleotide long non-coding RNA. RefSeq lists it as uncharacterized. The record is from RefSeq and is a predicted model, not a curated record. NCBI's taxonomy places the organism in Eukaryota, Metazoa, Chordata, Actinopteri, Cypriniformes, Cyprinidae. The transcript is spliced from 3 exons.